Molecule: long non-coding RNA, 1956 nt
Filed under: Malus domestica (apple)
Lineage: Eukaryota; Viridiplantae; Streptophyta; Magnoliopsida; Rosales; Rosaceae
Description: long non-coding RNA (MDOM_LNC014916)
Source: RNAcentral
GUUGUCCGGAAGCCAAGAACUAAAAAAAUUGGGUCCUUAUUUGUGUGGAAGAGAGAUCAGAAGUUUUGAUAUAUGUGAAGUAGGUUAAUAGAAUGAGUUAAUGAAGGCCGACAUAUUCAAUUUUAGUAGUCUAGAUUGUCUGGUCCUUGAUCUAAGGACAAUACGAUCUAAAAAAGAUUUUUUGUCCCAAUCAAACAAAGAGCUCAUAAGAUCCUUUGUGAAAGAUGGAGGCAAAUUUUUUGUGAAAGAUAGUUUACCUCACAAUCCCAUUUCUUUUGCAACACUAGAAAUGAAUAUUUCAGGCCAUAUGCUUUUCUUGAGAAAUUGAAUUCUCUAUAAAGUAAAGGUAAGAUACAAGAAAGCUACUUCAUGUCUAAUUAACUAUAUGCUAAAAUCUAUUUCAUGUCUUACCUCUAGUAAACUAACUGUUUUAUAUAAGUUUGAUCACACUAUAAAUCUUAUUGCAUUUGUAGCUUGUACUCAUACCACUCAUUGCUAAUUCCACAUUUUCUUUGUGAAUGACAUACUUUACUUUGUAAAUAUUGGAGGGAACUAAAGGAUUAAUGCCCUCGUACUAAAAAAUUUGGUCGCGUACAAGCCUCAUUAAAUGAUUCGGCUGCAGGUCCGAACCCGUCUCCUUCUGACCUUUGUCUUCCUCGCUAGAUUAUUCACUUGCAAGUCUAAGCCCGUCCUCAUAUCCAUCCCUACUAUUAAGUUCUACUUCGCUAGAUGAUUAACUUGCAAGUCCAAGCCCGUCCUCAUAUCCAUCCCUACUAUCAGGUUCUACGUAUGAAGCGAUAUCACCAAUGCCAUCUUAAAGGACAGCUCCAAUUCUUUGCAGAAUUAUCAUAGAGAUGGGCCAUAUGGUCCACUUCCAACAAUACCGAUGUUAUCCCCUACUUGGUAAUUAUCACCAGCACAAUCCGUCAGGUGUGGGGUUUUAUCACAAAAGGCAUCGGUAUUAGUUGAAGUGGGAUUAGGGUAUUUAAACUCUUCUUUUGUCAUUAAUACAGUCGAUGUGGGACAUUUUAACAUGCCCCCUCACAUAGGACUUAAUUAGUAGGUCACACGUGGGAGAUCCACACAUUGACAACCACAUGGAGCCAAGGGGACUCACCCUACAUGCGGGGCCAAAGAACCCACCAUCAUCGCGCGGGGCCAAGGGGACCCACUCAUCAAGUGGCAGUACAAUACAGGCUCUCCAAUCGACAAACACGUGGAGCCAAGGAGACUCACCAUACACGUGGGGCCAAGAAACUCACCAUCAUCGUGCAGGGCCAAAGGGACCCACCCAUCACGUGGCAGUAUGGUACGAGCCCGCUCCCUGACUAUGAUACCAUAUAGAAUUAUCAGAGAGACGGGUUAUACGACCCACUUUCAACAACACCGAUAUUGUCCCUAACUUGGUAAUUACCACCUGCACAAUCCGUAAGGUAUGAGGUUUUAUCACAAAAGGUCUCGGUAUUAGUUAGUGUGGGAUUAGGGUAUUUAAACUCUUAUUUUAUCAUUGAUACGGUCGAUGUGGGACAUUUCAAUACACCCACUCACUUGGGGCCCAAUUAGUGGGUCACACGUGGGAGAUCCACACAUCGACAACCACGUGGAGCCAAAGGGACUCACCUUACACGAGGGGCCAAAGAACCCAUCAUCAUUGCGCGGGACCAAGGGGACCCACCCAUCACUUGGCGGUACAGUACAGGGCUGCUCCUUGACUUUGAUACCAUAUAGAAUUAUCAGAGAGACGGGUUAUACAACACACUUCCAAAAACACCGAUAUUGUCCCCAACUUGGUAAUUACCACCUGCAUAAUCCGUCAGAUGUGGGGUUUUUUCACAAAAGACCUCAGUAUUAGUUGGAGUGGGAUUAAGGUAUUUAAACUCUUCUUUUGUCAUUGAUACGGUCGAUGUGGUUAUAGUCACGUAUAUACCAAGAUUAUUCAUAUUACACACACACACA